UACAGAGGGUGCGAGCGUUAAUCGGAAUUACUGGGCGUAAAGCGCACGUAGGUGGCGACGUAAGUCGGGUGUGAAAGCCCCGGGCUCAACCUGGGAAUUGCAUUCGAGACUGCAUUGCUGGAGUACGGAAGAGGAAGGCGGAAUUCCCGGUGUAGCGGUGAAAUGCGUAGAUAUCGGGAGGAACAUCAGUGGCGAAGGCGGCGCUCUGGACGGUGACUGACGCUGAGACGCGAAAGCGUGGGGAGCAAACAGG
This 253-nucleotide ribosomal RNA is filed under the name uncultured bacterium. Its description in RNAcentral is "partial 16S ribosomal RNA". It matches the Rfam family "Bacterial small subunit ribosomal RNA", at positions 524 to 776 of the family's 1533-position model. The record is from RNAcentral.